AAAGUUAUAUCCUUCAGGUCCUCUUCCAUUGUAAAAAGUACAUAUAAAAAUAGGGCUGAGCACACGUGACCCCUCCUGGGACUCAGCGAAGUUCCUGGCAGUGACUGGAACUCAGUGAACGUCUCUGGAAGUAACUGAUGGGGUAGACCAGGAGAAAAUACUUAGUCUCUAGUGGAGACAAAGAGACAAAAGGGGGCUACAAUUUUUUGUUUUAUUUAUGCUUUUCUCUUUUCCUUUUCUUAGGGCUAAGCUUGAAGCAGAAGAAACCACAGUAAAAACACUGGUCAAUGUAUGGUAAUUUUAAAGUCAUCUACUUCCUAUACAUGUGAUUGUUGGCCAGGGCAUUUAUGAUUUAUGUUAUAUUUUAUUUUCCUAUGGUCUUAAGUUGUUGGUUAUACUCUAGAACUUUGCAUACAUGCAGUUGUUGGCUGGGACAUUUAUGAUUUAUCUUGUAUUUUACAAUUGUCUUAAGUUGUUGGUUAUCCUCUAGAACUUCCUGUACAUGUAGGGUUGGCCGGGCCACUCAUGAUUUAUGUUGUAUUUUAUUUUGCUAUGAUCUUAAGUUGUUGGUUUUCCUCUAGAACUUCUUGUACAUGUAAUUGUUGGCCAGGGAAUUUAUGAUUUACAUUGUGUUUUAUUUUAUUAUGAUCAUAAGUUGUUGGUUUUCCUCUAGAACUUCCCAUACAUAAUUCUUGGCCAGGGCAUUUAUGACGUAUGUUGUGUUUUAUUUUGCAAUGGUCUUAAGUUGUUGUUGUUGUUGUUUUCUAGAACUUUAGUGCAUUUCACAGUAACAUAUUUUAGUGGAUGGUGAGGUAAGGGCCCAAACCCCCCAAAACAAAUUGUAAAUUCCAGUAAAAACUAUUACCCAGUAGUUGGCAUGGAAAAGUUUGGUGGCUCCUUACAAAGUUAAAUGUAGAACUACCGUAUCACACAGAAACUCCACUCCUAGGCAUAUAUGUCCGGAAGAAUUGUGGGCAGAGGCUGGAACAGAUAAUUGUACAGGAAAGUCAUAACAACAUCAUUCACCAUAACCAAAAAGCAGAAGCAACCAUGCCCAUGGAGAGGUGAAUGGGUAAGCCCAACGUGGUCUGUCCAUACAAGGGAAUGCUUUCAGCCUCAACAAGGGAUGGAGUUUUCAUACACGCUGCAACCAGGAUGGACCUGCAAAACACAUGAAGUGCAGUAAGCCAGACACAGAAGGACAGAUAUGACAUGUCUCCAUGGACACGGAAUACUUAGAACAGGCAAUUUCACAGACAGAAGGUAGAGUGGAGACACUCAAGGCUGGGGAAUGGGAUGGAGGGGGUGUUGUUAUUGGAGGUGCCGAGCUUAUGUUGGGGAUGGUGAAGAAGUUUUGGGGAUAGCAGUGGUGAGGGCUACACAAAUUGUGAAUAGAUGAUUUAAUGCUCCUUCAUCGUCUGCUGAAAAACGGCUACAACGGCAAGCAUUCUAUUCUCUAUGCUUUACCAUAGCAAAAAAAAAAAAAUGAAUACCUAGUAGGAACUUUAUGCGGUUAUUUUGAAACAUGGGUCAGAUUCUACAUUUACUCUCCAAGAUCACAACGAUAAGUGUUUUGUGAAUGGUGGAGCCAGUGAUGCAGAGAGGACGGCCGACACUGCCCCCCAGGGGCUCUGAGCCCCUGUCUCCUCACCUGUGAAGCAGACGCAAGUUACUUGGAAGUAUUUUCAAGCACGAACGUGCAUGACGGCUCGGAUCUACUCAGCGACUUUCCAGAGAGCCGUGUGGCUUUACUAAUGACAGACAUCGUGGUGCAUUCCAGACCCCUGGGCUUGUUCAUCUGACGUCACUGCAACCUCCUGAUUCCACUCAAUAGGCCAAGACAAGCGGAAGCUCCGGUUCAGGGAGAACGUUCCCCAGGAAAUCAGGGCAGCAGAGUUUUCCAGGAACGGAGGCUGUGACGGUGGAGGGUGGCCAGGCAGCAGGAGGCCGGGGAAGCGGGUGUCCUGAAGCAGAGGCCGCGGCGCCACGUGUAUGGCAGCUUGCAGGUGAGGAGCACUGCAGUGAAACAAAUCAGACCCCGCAGAGGUGAGCGUAAGGGAAGGGAGCUGCCCCCUCCCGCCACCCCCCUGCUCUCCUGCGGCUGUAGAAGCCGGGGCCUGAGCUGUGUCGCUCCCCUGAAGACCUCGGGGCAGCAUGUGGGCCAAGUUCCAGCCUGCUUCACAGUCCUUCCGGGGAUUGUGGUGGUGAGAGGUUUUUUCUAAUUUUAUGAAAGGUAUCACUAUCUUUUUUUCCUGAUUAUCUUGGUAGUUUGUAGAGAGAAG
This 2282-nucleotide long non-coding RNA is filed under the name Homo sapiens (human). RNAcentral's name for it is "HSALNT0083357". Lineage: Eukaryota; Metazoa; Chordata; Mammalia; Primates; Hominidae. The record is from RNAcentral.